AUUAAAAAGAUGUGGCAGCCAU
RNAcentral lists this non-coding RNA (22 nucleotides) under Arabidopsis thaliana (thale cress). Lineage: Eukaryota; Viridiplantae; Streptophyta; Magnoliopsida; Brassicales; Brassicaceae. The record is from RNAcentral.